AUACAAUGGAGAGUUUGAUCCUGGCUCAGGAUGAACGCUAGCGGGAGGCCUAACACAUGCAAGCCGAGCGGUAGAGUUUCUUCGGAAACUUGAGAGCGGCGUACGGGUGCGGAACACGUGUGCA
RNAcentral lists this ribosomal RNA (124 nucleotides) under Chryseobacterium sp. 7. RNAcentral describes it as "partial 16S ribosomal RNA". It matches the Rfam family "Bacterial small subunit ribosomal RNA", at positions 1 to 123 of the family's 1533-position model. Lineage: Bacteria; Pseudomonadati; Bacteroidota; Flavobacteriia; Flavobacteriales; Weeksellaceae. The record is from RNAcentral.